UAGGUGGACCGGGGCAGAACGCGCGGGAAAAGGGAGACCUUAAGGGUUAUCCGGUUUUAAUGGUCGUAAAGCGCGGGUAGGGGGUUUUGUGCGGCUACGGGUAAAGGCCAGGGCCGAACGCUGGAAGGGCAGGAGGUACGACAGAACGAGAGGAGGUUAGAGGUGCAUGGAGCGCACGGUGUAGGGGUGAAAUCCGUUGAUAUCGUGCGAAACACCAAAGGCGAAGGCAUUGCACUGGGACCUUCCUGACCCUGAGACGCGAAAGCGUGGGGAGCAAAAAGGAUUAGAUACCCGGGUAUUC
RNAcentral lists this ribosomal RNA (301 nucleotides) under uncultured Thermococcus sp. RNAcentral's name for it is "bacterial SSU rRNA". The stretch from base 53 to 301 matches the Rfam family "Bacterial small subunit ribosomal RNA", at positions 547 to 795 of the family's 1533-position model. Lineage: Archaea; Methanobacteriati; Methanobacteriota; Thermococci; Thermococcales; Thermococcaceae. The record is from RNAcentral.